AACGAACGCUGGCGGCAUGCCUAACACAUGCAAGUCGAACGAGACCUUCUGGUCUAUUGGCGCACGGGUUCUUAACGCGUGGUAACCUUCCUUUAGGUUCGGAAUAACUCAGAGUAAUUUGAGCUAAUACCGGUUGAUGUCUUCGGACCUAAGAUUUAUCGCCUUUUGAUGGGCCCUCGUUGGAUUCUCUUGUUGGUUGGGUAAAGGCCUACCAAGGCGACGAUCCAUAGCUGGUCUGAGAGGAUGAUCAGCCACACUGGGAAUGAGACACGGCCCAGACUACUACGGGAGGGAGCAGAGGGGAAUAUUGGAAAAUGGGGGAAAGACUGAUAAAGCAAUGACGCGUGAGUGAGGAAGGGCUUAGGGUAGUAAAGCUGUUUUAACCGAGAUGAUAAUGACAGUAACGGGAGAAGAAGCAACGGCUAACUACGUG
RNAcentral lists this ribosomal RNA (433 nucleotides) under uncultured bacterium. RNAcentral describes it as "partial 16S ribosomal RNA". It matches the Rfam family "Bacterial small subunit ribosomal RNA", at positions 29 to 507 of the family's 1533-position model. The record is from RNAcentral.